Molecule: ribosomal RNA, 433 nt
Filed under: uncultured bacterium
Lineage: Bacteria
Description: partial 16S ribosomal RNA
Rfam family: Bacterial small subunit ribosomal RNA
Source: RNAcentral
AACGAACGCUGGCGGCAUGCCUAACACAUGCAAGUCGAACGAUACCUUCGGGUCUAGUGGCGCACGGGUGCGUAACGCGUGGGAACCUGCCCUUAGGUUCGGAAUAACUCCCCGAAAGGGGUGCUAAUACCGGAUAAUGUCUUCGGACCAAAGAUUUAUCGGCUUUGGAUGGGCCCGCGUUGGAUUAGCUAGUUGGUAGGGUAAAAGCCUACCAAGGCGACGAUCCAUAGCUGGUCUGAGAGGAUGAUCAGCCACACUGGGACUGAGACACGGCCCAGACUCCUACGGGAGGCAGCAGUGGGGAAUAUUGGACAAUGGGCGAAAGCCUGAUCCAGCAAUGCCGCGUGAGUGAUGAAGGCCUUAGGGUUGUAAAGCUCUUUUACCCGGGAUGAUAAUGACAGUACCGGGAGAAUAAGCUCCGGCUAACUCCGUG